This is a long non-coding RNA of Pipra filicauda (Wire-tailed manakin), 1444 nucleotides long. RefSeq lists it as uncharacterized. The transcript has 6 exons. The record is from RefSeq and is a predicted model, not a curated record. NCBI's taxonomy places the organism in Eukaryota, Metazoa, Chordata, Aves, Passeriformes, Pipridae.
CUCCCAAGCUGUUAAUUGUUUAAAUUCAUCUUGAAUUUUUCUCUUUCAGACCUGAGGAAAGUGUCUGUGGCCUAAACCCUCCUUUGUCUCGCCCCAGCUGUGCCCGUUGGGCUAAAAAUAAUUUAAAAAAGAGGUUUAUUUUUCUCUACAAAGCUGUUUUCUGCUCCUCAACCACGAGGCCAAGGCCCAGGGCUUUGACCAUGAAUAAACAAGAGCUGCAAAUUAGGAAAUUAUUAACUGCCAGAGGUCAAGAUUCUGGAGGUCUUGCAAAUGAAGAGGUGGAAGGCAAGAAAAGAAAUCGGGUUUAAAGGAGAGGAAAUGUCUAAUUUUACUCCUCACUUUUGGCCAGUGUGGACUGUGCCGAUGGAUGAGAGGAGAGGGAGCAGGAAAAUGAAGGAAGAGAAGGAAUAAAACAUGGAAUAAGUGCUGAGGUUUUUCCCAGCAAACACACAGGGAAGGAGCUGAGCUGGGAAAUGUGUUGUCAGCAUGACAUGAUCCAUCCAACAUUCCCAAAUAUUCCCAGCUCCAUGUGCUAAAAACAGUCUGAACACAACAAUUCAGGGAACUGAAACAUUUUGGCCUUCCAGGAACCAAAACAAUGUCGAAAUGGGGCGGGGUGGUGCAAAAAUCACCUGUAAUUUCUCUUUCCUUGCCAUUCCAGGUACAAAAUCUUGCUCUUACACCUCACAUUUGGGCAUUGUUCUGCCCAAAGACUGGAGUUUUCUGGGGUGGAUGUUCCGUGAGGGCCUGAAACCCCACGACUGGAAUGUGUUGGCUUCCUCUCCUGCUCCAAAUCUCCUCUCCAAACUCGGCUUUUCAGCAGCAUUCCCUGAUUAAUCUCCAGCCUGGGGUCACUCAGGGAAACCCAGAGCUUUGGAGCCCCUUGGAUUGUCAAACAAAAGCUCAAAUCAACAGCAAGUCCCCAAAUCACCCAGGAAUUAACCCAAGGAGCCUCAGUGAAGGGAAGAACCUGCACGUGGGUGAAGAGAUUCCCACUUGGAUGACAGUUUAAUUCACAACUCGUGUGACAGGAGAGAUUCCAGCACUGAGGAGGUCGGUUUGGGUUGAAAGGACCCACUGGAAAGGGAAAAUAAAACAACCUGAAAUUGUGAAAUUGUGGUUUCUUGUCACGGGCCCGACUGCACCGUCUCCUCUGUGGAAAGCUGAUGGGUUUUUUGUCUAAAUUCAUUAAAAAACAGCCUCAAAAAGAAAAGAGGAAAAUCAAAUUGAAGUGUUACCAGUCAGGAGAUGGUGAAUUCACAGAGACCACGAGGAGGUUUGUGAUUGUUCCUGGUUGGGAGCUCAAAUCAAUUGAAUCAGGAAAAGUCCUUUCCUUAAUUUCAGUGGGUUGCUCAGCCCCUCUGACAGAGCCAGCUCUGCAGAUGGGAAUUCUGUUUGGGAAUUCUAUUUGGGAAUUCUAUUUGGGAAUUCCUGCUGCUUCUGC